Molecule: non-coding RNA, 44 nt
Filed under: Prorocentrum micans
Lineage: Eukaryota; Dinophyceae; Prorocentrales; Prorocentraceae
Source: RNAcentral
UUUUUUUUUUUUUUUUUUUUUUUUUUUUUGUCAUCCUUCCUUCU